RNAcentral lists this transfer RNA (90 nucleotides) under Mucilaginibacter sp. SG538B. RNAcentral describes it as "tRNA-OTHER". It matches the Rfam family "tRNA", at positions 14 to 71 of the family's 71-position model. From Rfam's summary of the family: Transfer RNA (tRNA) molecules are approximately 80 nucleotides in length. Their secondary structure includes four short double-helical elements and three loops (D, anti-codon, and T loops). Lineage: Bacteria; Pseudomonadati; Bacteroidota; Sphingobacteriia; Sphingobacteriales; Sphingobacteriaceae. The record is from RNAcentral.
AUCCCGAAAAUGGCCUUUAAAUGCACUAUCGAAGGGUUGAGCAACAGAUUUCUAAUCUGUAGGUCUUUGGUUCGAAUCCAAAUGGGAUCA